RNAcentral lists this ribosomal RNA (460 nucleotides) under uncultured bacterium. Its description in RNAcentral is "bacterial SSU rRNA". It matches the Rfam family "Bacterial small subunit ribosomal RNA", at positions 346 to 793 of the family's 1533-position model. The record is from RNAcentral.
AGGCAGCAGUGGGGGAAUAUUGCACAAUGGGCGCAAGCCUGAUGCAGCCAUGCCGCGUGUAUGAAGAAGGACCUUCGGGUUGUAAAGUACUUUCAGCAGUGAGGAAGGUGGGUAUGUUAAUAGCAUAUUCAUUUGACGUUAGCUGUAGAAGAAAGCACCGGCUAACUCCGUGCCAGCAGCCGCGGUAAUACGGAGGGUGCGAGCGUUAAUCGGAAUUACUGGGCGUAAAGCGCAUGCAGGUGGUUUGUUAAGUCAGAUGUGAAAGACCCGGGGCUCAACCUCGGAAUUGCAUUUGAAACUGGCAAACUAGAGUACUGUAGAGGGGGGUAGGAAUUUCAGGUGUAGCGGUGAAAUGCGUAGAGAUCUGAAGGAAUACCGGUGGCGAAGGCGGCCCCCUGGACAGAUACUGACACUCAGAUGCGAAAGCGUGGGGAGCAAACAGGAUUAGAUACCCUGGUAG